GAUGAACGCUGGCGGCGUGCUUAACACAUGCCAGUCGAACGGAAAGGCCUCUGCUUGCAGGGGUACUCGAGUGGCGAACGGGUGAGUAACACGUGGGUGAUCUGCCCUGCACUUCGGGAUAAGCCUGGGAAACUGGGUCUAAUACCGGAUAGGACAAUGGUUUGGAUGCUGUUGUGGAAAGUUUUUCGGUGUGGGAUGAGCUCGCGGCCUAUCAGCUUGUUGGUGGGGUAAUGGCCUACCAAGGCGUCGACGGGUAGCCGGCCUGAGAGGGUGUACGGCCACAUUGGGACUGAGAUAAGGCCCAGACUCCUACGGGAGGCAGCAGUGGGGAAUAUUGCACAAUGGGCGCAAGCCUGAUGCAGCGACGCCGCGUGGGGGAUGACGGCCUUCGGGUUGUAAACUCCUUUCGCUAGGGACGAAGCGUUUUUGUGACGGUACCUGGAGAAGAAGCACCGGCUAACUACGUG
This 467-nucleotide ribosomal RNA is filed under the name uncultured bacterium. Its description in RNAcentral is "partial 16S ribosomal RNA". It matches the Rfam family "Bacterial small subunit ribosomal RNA", at positions 28 to 507 of the family's 1533-position model. The record is from RNAcentral.